ACGGGAGGCAGCAGUCGGGAAUAUUGGGCAAUGGAGGAAACUCUGACCCAGCAAUACCGCGUGAAGGAUGAAGGUCUUCGGAUUGUAAACUUCUGUUAUAAAGGAAGAAACAAAUGACGGUACUUUAUAAGUAAGCCCCGGCAAACUACGUGCCAGCAGCCGCGGUGAUACGUAGGGGGCAAGCGUUGUCCGGAAUGACUGGGUGUAAAGGGUGUGUAGGUGGCUUUUUAAGUUGGAAGUGAAAGCCCGGGGCUUAACUCCGGAACUGCUUUCAAAACUGGAUGGCUUGAGUGUGGGAGAGGUUAGUGGAACUCCUAGUGUAGCGGUGGAAUGCGUAGAUAUUAGGAAGAACAUCAGAGGCGAAGGCGACUAACUGGACCACAACUGACGCUGAGACACGAAAGCGUGGGGAGCAAACAGGAUUAGAUACCCUGGUA
RNAcentral lists this ribosomal RNA (437 nucleotides) under uncultured bacterium. RNAcentral describes it as "partial 16S ribosomal RNA". It matches the Rfam family "Bacterial small subunit ribosomal RNA", at positions 341 to 792 of the family's 1533-position model. The record is from RNAcentral.